AAAGAAACCAAUUCAGGAGUAAACACCUCUGAGAAAAUAUUGCCUUGAGCUCAUUACUCUGUAAAGUAACAAUUCAUCAAGAACAUAGUCCCUUAAAGGGCUUCAAUGAAUUAAACUGGGAAAUAUAAAAAUUUUGAAGCAAGUUUAUGGGAUGAAAAUUGGAUAUAUAGAGAAAGGGGAUAAAUUUAAAAAAAUAACUAAAAGGUAUACUUUGCAUACUGAACAUAUA
RNAcentral lists this unclassified non-coding RNA (229 nucleotides) under Hevea brasiliensis (rubber tree). The record is from RNAcentral. Lineage: Eukaryota; Viridiplantae; Streptophyta; Magnoliopsida; Malpighiales; Euphorbiaceae.